CAAUAGCGUAUAUUAAAGUUGUUGCGGUAAAAAAGCUCGUAGUUGGAUUUCUACCGAAGAUAGCCGGUCGGGUCUUCGACCUUGUAUCUGGUUUUGUCUUUGGUAUCCUCAUAGGGAACGUUUCUGCGCUUUAUUGCGUGGUGCGGCAUCUAUGACUUUUACUUUGAGGAAAUUAGAGUGUUCACGGCAGGCAAACGCCUUGAAUAUAUUAGCAUGGAAUAAUAACAUAGGAUCUUCGUCCUAUUUUGUUGGUUUCUAGGGCUAAGAUAAUGAUUAAUAGGGAUAAUUGGGGGCAUCUGUAUCAACGCGUCAGAGGUGGAAUUCUUGGAUUGCGUUGCGACAAACUACUGCGAAAGCAUUUGCCAAGGAUGUUUUCAUUGA
This 381-nucleotide ribosomal RNA is filed under the name uncultured eukaryote. Its description in RNAcentral is "partial 18S ribosomal RNA". It matches the Rfam family "Eukaryotic small subunit ribosomal RNA", at positions 592 to 976 of the family's 1831-position model. The record is from RNAcentral.